This 391-nucleotide ribosomal RNA is filed under the name Salmonella enterica. RNAcentral's name for it is "bacterial LSU rRNA". It matches the Rfam family "Bacterial large subunit ribosomal RNA", at positions 1196 to 1587 of the family's 2925-position model. The record is from RNAcentral. Lineage: Bacteria; Pseudomonadati; Pseudomonadota; Gammaproteobacteria; Enterobacterales; Enterobacteriaceae.
GAAGCUGCGGCAGCGACACUAUGUGUUGUUGGGUAGGGGAGCGUUCUGUAAGCCUGUGAAGGUGUGUCGUGAGGCAUGCUGGAGGUAUCAGAAGUGCGAAUGCUGACAUAAGUAACGAUAAAGCGGGUGAAAAGCCCGCUCGCCGGAAGACCAAGGGUUCCUGUCCAACGUUAAUCGGGGCAGGGUGAGUCGACCCCUAAGGCGAGGCCGAAAGGCGUAGUCGAUGGGAAACGGGUUAAUAUUCCCGUACUUGGUGUUACUGCGAAGGGGGGACGGAGAAGGCUAUGUUGGCCGGGCGACGGUUGUCCCGGUUUAAGCGUGUAGGUGUGUGUUCCAGGUAAAUCCGGUUCACUUUAACACUGAGGCGUGAUGACGAGGCACUACGGUGCUG